UGAGGAAUAUUGGUCAAUGGACGAGAGCCUGAACCAGCCAAGUCGCGUGAAGGAAGACUGCCUUAUGGGUUGUAAACUUCUUUUAUACAGGAAUAAAAAGGCUUACGUGUAGGCCAUUGCAAGUACUGUAUGAAUAAGCAUCGGCUAACUCCGUGCCAGCAGCCGCGGUAAUACGGAGGAUGCGAGCGUUAUCCGGAUUUAUUGGGUUUAAAGGGUGCGCAGGCGGGCUUUUAAGUCAGCGGUGAAAUCUGGACGCUUAACGUCCAAACUGCCGUUGAAACUGGGAGUCUUGAGUAUGGAUGAAGUAGGCGGAAUUCGUUGUGUAGCGGUGACAUGCAUAGAUAUAACGAGGAACUCCGAUUGCGUAGGCAGCUUACUAAGCCAUAACUGACGCUCAUGCACGAAAGCGUGGGGAUCAAACAGGAUUAGAUACCCUGGUAGUCCACGCCGUAAAACGAUGAUUACUAGUUGUAUGCGAUAUGAUAGUAUGUGACUAAGCGAAAGCGAUAAGUAAUCCACCUGGGGAGUACGCCGGCAACGGUGAAACUUAAAGGAAUUGAC
Molecule: ribosomal RNA, 561 nt
Filed under: uncultured bacterium
Lineage: Bacteria
Description: partial 16S ribosomal RNA
Rfam family: Bacterial small subunit ribosomal RNA
Source: RNAcentral